CAUCAUAGAAGAUGAGUUCAGAAAUUGACCGCUUUCCAACACGAAUUUCCUUCGACAAAAUUAAAUGUUGUUAGUAACAAAUCCUAUUUUAGAUCAGUCUUAUAGAUCGUCUGUCGUAGACGUUCGCAAAGUUUGGAAGGGAUUGCUAGGACGGAACAAAAUUUGGAUAGAAUUGACAGUUAACGGGAAGAUUGAGUCAAAAUGUUAAGACUCCCGGUAAUAAAACUACCAACAGGAUUACAAAAUGGUAGACUUUUUGCUAUGGGAUUACAUACAACAUCCUGUAAAUUACAACAAGAAUUAGUAGAGGUAUUUAUAGAUGAUAAGCCAGUUCAGGUUCCACCUGGGACAACUGUUUUGCAGGCAGCUGCUAAAGUAGGAGUAGAGAUUCCCAGAUUUUGUUAUCAUGAACGUCUAGCAGUAGCAGGAAAUUGCAGAAUGUGUCUUGUGGAAAUUGAAAAACAAGUUAAGCCUGUUGCAGCUUGUGCAAUGCCUGUGAUGAAAGGAUGGAGAGUAAAAACAAAUUCUGAUUUAACACGUAAAGCUCGUGAAGGAGUUAUGGAAUUUUUAUUAGUUAAUCAUCCUUUAGAUUGUCCAAUUUGUGAUCAAGGUGGUGAAUGUGAUUUACAAGAUCAAAGUAUGGCAUUUGGUAGUGAUAGGAGCAGAUUCAUUGAUAUUAAUUAUAGCGGUAAAAGAGCAGUAGAGGACAAGGAUAUUGGACCUCUAAUAAAAACAGUUAUGACACGUUGCAUCCACUGUACAAGAUGUAUUCGUUUUGCCUCCGAAGUAGCGGGAAUCGAUGAUCUAGGAACUACUGGUCGUGGAAAUGACAUGCAAGUGGGAACAUAUGUAGAGAAGAUGUUUCUCUCAGAAUUAUCUGGUAACAUAAUUGACUUGUGUCCUGUUGGUGCAUUAACCAGUAAACCAUAUGCUUUCGUUGCUCGCCCAUGGGAAACACGUCGUACAGAUAGUAUUGAUGUUCUUGAUGCUAUUGGUAGUAAUAUAGUAGUAACGCAUAGAACGGGUGAAGUUUUAAGAAUUUUACCAAGAGUAAACGAGGAAAUAAAUGAAGAAUGGCUGUCAGAUAAAGCUCGUUUCUCUUAUGAUGGAUUGAAACGUCAGAGACUCAUAACUCCAAUGAUGAAAAUCAAUGGAAAAUUGGAAGCUGUUAAUUGGGAAGAUGCUCUCGUAACGGUUGCUCAAGCUGUUCAGGACGUACCGUUGAAUAAAUGUUCCGCGAUUGCUGGGAAAUUAGCUGAUGCUGAAGCUCUUGUGGCAUUGAAAGAUUUAGUAAAUAGACUUGGUGGUGAAAUUCUUGCAACGGAACAAAGUCUUCCGAAAAACAUUGUAGAUAUAAGAACUAAUUAUUUAUUAAAUAAUUCCAUUGCUGCUAUAGAAGAGGCUGAUGUCGUAUUAUUGAUCGGUACAAAUCCAAGAUACGAAGCACCAUUGGUGAAUACGCGUUUACGGAAAGGAUAUAUUCAUGGUGAACAGACUAUUGCUCUAAUUGGUCCGGACGUAGAUCUAACAUAUGAUCAUGAACAUUUAGGUCAGUCUCCAGAAAUUAUAACACAAUUAAGGAAUGGUACUCAUGCGUUUUCGAAUAUUCUGAAAAGUGCUAAGAAACCUCUAAUUAUCUUGGGCAUCGAGCAAUUAACCAGAAAAGAUGGGGCAAAAAUUUUGUGUGAAACACAAUUAUUGGCACAGUCUUUAGAAGAUAAAUCGAAGACUUCUGAAGGAUGGAACGUAUUAAAUGUACUUCACACGAAUGCGUCGCAAGUAGCUGCUUUGGAUUUGGGUUACUCGUCAUCCGUUGACGAAGUUAAACAACAACAGCCAAAAGUUUUAUUUUUACUUGGAGCUGACGAUGCAAAUAUAAAAAAAGAAGACUUUCCCAACACCGUUAUUGUAUACAUAGGUAGUCACGGUGAUGAGGGAGCUGCGAUGGCCGAUGUUAUACUUCCUGGAGCUGCGUACACCGAAAAAGUUGCAACAUACGUAAACACUGAAGGACGUCCUCAACAAACUUGUGCUGCAAAUACACCGCCAGGUAUGGCGCGUCCAGAUUGGAAGAUUAUACGAGCUCUUUCAGAAAUAUGUGGAAUUUGUUUACCUUAUGACACUUUGAACGAAGUAAGGUCCAGGCUGGAGGAAAUAGCACCACAUUUAAUUAGGUAUGGUAGCAUAGAACCGACCAAUUAUUCUGUCGAAGCAUUGGAGUUAUUAAAGGAAACGAAUGGCUCGUUGUCAUCGAAUCCAUUAGAAAUUAAACAGAAAACGUUAGAUCAAUUUUUUAUGACGGACGUAAUAUCUCGAGCCUCACUUACUAUGGCAAAAUGUGUGCAAGCAGUUUUGAAACAACGGGAAAGUUCUUUGUAAAAAAAAUUAAUCACCAACGUAUGAGAUACUGUGCUAUGGUAGAUACAUAAUAGGAUAUGAGAAUGCAUCGCAACUAUACUGCUUUAAUUACAGUGUGUUUCAGUUACCUAGGAGGACUACUUGGGGCCAUUACUCCUGCUAGGAAUUCUUGAUUGCUAGCAUUUCCUCUAAUAACUUCAGCUACCGUAUUAAUCGUUUCUGUGAGCACAUCAGCAGGUACACCACUAGCCAUUAAUAUGUUGCACAAAGCUUGUAAAAGUCCACAAGCUCUCAUGAUUUCUUGACAAUUUGCGACUGCCUUUAUAUACGUGUUACGGAUAAAAAUCAGUAUCAAAAACGAAAGGAAUGCAAAUGAGUAUAGAAUGUUUUCAUUUACCUGAGCAGGUCCACUAGGUGCUACUAAUGCUCGAAUCACUUGUACCAUACAGUGAACAUUUGACACUUUUUGUGGACUCCAUGCACCAAGAGGAUUGUCAUCAAUUUCAGAUGGUAUUUGAAACAUUGGAGUUAAUUUCUGAAUUAACACGUUACCUUCAUAAAAAAAAUUUUGAUUACUUAUGUUACCCCGUAAAAGAUUCAACAUAAGUAACAGGCAAUCUUCAACGACGAUACCACCUUCCGCAUUACCUUCCUGAGCAAUUACAUCGAAAAUGCGAUCAAAUGCAUUUUCAAAUGCAACAAUUUUUUGAAUGUUUGCAUUGCCUUUGGUUAAUUGGAUAAGAAGUAAUAAGGCCUGUAACAAUAAUAAAUAAUACUUUCUAUCCAGUAAAGGUAUACUGUAAACUCAUGAAAACAUCAUGGGAAAAAAAGAACAGAUGAAAAAACUCAUACAUCAUUACGUAUGACUUCUCUACUAUCACUGAGGAGAUCCAUCAGUUUAGAAACACCCAUGGGGCUAACUAAAAUUAUUUCUUGUAUAUCCUUUAGCCUGUUAGCUGACAAAUGUGCUAAUAAUUUCAAAGCUGGCCAUCUAACUUUGAAUUCAAAUUCUUCCAAGAGUGCUAAGACUAAUCCUACGCUAUCUGUGUUUUUAAUAAAUAUCUCUGUGAAUUGUU
This is a non-coding RNA of Osmia lignaria (orchard mason bee), 3434 nucleotides long. NCBI's taxonomy places the organism in Eukaryota, Metazoa, Arthropoda, Insecta, Hymenoptera, Megachilidae. The record is from RefSeq and is a predicted model, not a curated record.